AGGGUUUGAUUCUGGCUCAGAUUGAACGCUGGCGGCAUGCCUUACACAUGCAAGUCGAACGGCAGCACGGGGGCAACCCUGGUGGCGAGUGGCGAACGGGUGAGUAAUACAUCGGAACGUGUCCUGUAGUGGGGGAUAGCCCGGCGAAAGCCGGAUUAAUACCGCAUACGCUCUGCGGAGGAAAGCGGGGGCUCCUUCGGGACCUCGCGCUACAGGGGCGGCCGAUGGCAGAUUAGCUAGUUGGUGGGGUAAAGGCCUACCAAGGCGACGAUCUGUAGCUGGUCUGAGAGGACGACCAGCCACACUGGGACUGAGACACGGCCCAGACUCCUACGGGAGGCAGCAGUGGGGAAUUUUGGACAAUGGGCGCAAGCCUGAUCCAGCAAUGCCGCGUGUGUGAAGAAGGCCUUCGGGUUGUAAAGCACUUUUGUCCGGAAAGAAAACCUCAGCCCUAAUACGGCGGGGGGAUGACGGUACCGGAAGAAUAAGCACCGGCUAACUACGUGCCAGCAGCCGCGGUAAUACGUAGGGUGCAAGCGUUAAUCGGAAUUACUGGGCGUAAAGCGUGCGCAGGCGGUCCGCUAAGACAGAUGUGAAAUCCCCGGGCUUAACCUGGGAACUGCAUUUGUGACUGGCGGGCUAGAGUAUGGCAGAGGGGGGUAGAAUUCCACGUGUAGCAGUGAAAUGCGUAGAGAUGUGGAGGAAUACCGAUGGCGAAGGCAGCCCCCUGGGCCAAUACUGACGCUCAUGCACGAAAGCGUGGGGGAGCAAACAGGAUCAGAUACCCUGGUAGUCCACGCCCUAAACGAUGUCAACUAGUUGUCGGGCCUUCAUUGGCUUGGUACGUAGCUAACGCGUGAAGUUGACCGCCUGGGGAGUACGGUCGCAAGAUUAAAACUCAAAGGAAUUGACGGGGACCCGCACAAGCGGUGGAUGAUGUGGAUUAAUU
This 949-nucleotide ribosomal RNA is filed under the name uncultured Burkholderia sp. RNAcentral describes it as "bacterial SSU rRNA". It matches the Rfam family "Bacterial small subunit ribosomal RNA", at positions 8 to 951 of the family's 1533-position model. Lineage: Bacteria; Pseudomonadati; Pseudomonadota; Betaproteobacteria; Burkholderiales; Burkholderiaceae. The record is from RNAcentral.